Molecule: ribosomal RNA, 453 nt
Filed under: uncultured Porphyromonadaceae bacterium
Lineage: Bacteria; Pseudomonadati; Bacteroidota; Bacteroidia; Bacteroidales; Porphyromonadaceae
Description: partial 16S ribosomal RNA
Rfam family: Bacterial small subunit ribosomal RNA
Source: RNAcentral
ACGGGAGGCAGCAGUGAGGAAUAUUGGUCAAUGGAGGCAACUCUGAACCAGCCAUCUCGCGUGAAGGAAUACGGCCCUAUGGGUCUUAAACUUCUUUUAUAGGGGGAUAAAGUGAGGCAUGCAUGCCUUUUUGUAGGUACCCUAUGAAUAAGCAUCGGCUAACUCCGUGCCAGCAGCCGCGGUAAUACGGAGGAUGCGAGCGUUAUCCGGAUUUAUUGGGUUUAAAGGGUGCGUAGGCGGAAUGUUAAGUCAGUGGUAAAAGCGUGUGGCUCAACCAUACCAAGCCAUUGAUACUGGCGUUCUUGAGUGUAAACGAGGUAGGCGGAAUAUGACAUGUAGCGGUGAAAUGCUUAGAUAUGUCAUAGAACCCCGAUUGCGAAGGCAGCUUACCAGCAUACAACUGACGCUGAGGCACGAAAGCGUGGGUAUCAAACAGGAUUAGAUACCCUGGUA